RNAcentral lists this ribosomal RNA (392 nucleotides) under Cearacesa sp. n. Bra. RNAcentral describes it as "partial 12S ribosomal RNA". Lineage: Eukaryota; Metazoa; Arthropoda; Insecta; Orthoptera; Gryllidae. The record is from RNAcentral.
UAUUAUUUAAUGUGUAAUUUUUAAUACCAAAGUAGUAAAAGUUAAGGUCUUCAAACUUAAAGAAUUUGGCGGUGUUUUAGUCCAUUCAGAGGAAUCUGUCCUGUUAUUGAUAUUACACGUUUGGUUUAACUUGAUUUAUUAGUUUGUAUAUCGCCGUCGUAAGAAUAUGUUGUUGAGAUAUUAAAAUUUCUUUUUGCUAGAUGAAGAUUGAUGUCAGGUCAAGGUGCAGCUUAUAAUUAAGUGGAGAUGGAUUACAAUAAAGUAAUUUAUUGGAUAUGGAUUUUAAAUGAUUUAUUGAAAUUGGAUUUGAUUGUAACUUUAUUUUAAUUAUUAAUUUGAUUUAGGCUCUAAAAUGUGUACAUAUCGCCCGUCGCUCUCGUUAUUGUAAUGAG